This 446-nucleotide ribosomal RNA is filed under the name uncultured bacterium. RNAcentral's name for it is "partial 16S ribosomal RNA". It matches the Rfam family "Bacterial small subunit ribosomal RNA", at positions 329 to 792 of the family's 1533-position model. The record is from RNAcentral.
ACCCAGACUCCUACGGGAGGCAGCAGUGGGGGAUAUUGCACAAUGGGGGAAACCCUGAUGCAGCGACGCCGCGUGAGUGAAGAAGUAAUUCGUUACGUAAAGCUCUAUCAGCAGGGAAGAAAAUGACGGUACCUGACUAAGAAGCCCCGGCUAACUACGUGCCAGCAGCCGCGGUAAUACGUAGGGGGCAAGCGUUAUCCGGAUUUACUGGGUGUAAAGGGAGCGUAGACGGCAGUGCAAGUCUGGAGUGAAAGGCGGGGGCUCAACCCCCGGACUGCACUGGAAACUGCCGGGCUGGAGUGUCGGAGGGGCAGGCGGAAUUCCUAGUGUAGCGGUGAAAUGCGUAGAUAUUAGGAGGAACACCGGUGGCGAAGGCGGCCUGCUGGACGACGACUGACGCUGAGGCUCGAAAGCGUGGGGAGCAAACAGGAUUAGAUACCCUCGUA